AACGAACGCUGGCGGCAUGCCUAACACAUGCAAGUCGAACGAGACCUUCGGGUCUAGUGGCGCACGGGUGCGUAACGCGUGGGAACCUGCCCUUAGGUUCGGAAUAACUCCCCGAAAGGGGUGCUAAUACCGGAUAAUGUCUUCGGGCCAAAGAUUUAUCGCCUUUGGAUGGGCCCGCGUUGGAUUAGCUAGUUGGUAGGGUAAAAGCAUACCAAGGCGACGAUCCAUAGCUGGUCUGUGGGGAUGAUCAGCCACACUGGGACCGAGACACGGCCCAGACUCCUACGGGAGGCAGCAGUGGGGAAUAUUGGACAAUGGGCGAAAGCCUGAUCCAGCAAUGCCGCGUGAGUGAUGAAGGCCUUAGGGUUGUAAAGCUCUUUUACCCGGGAUGAUAAUGACAGUACCGGGAGAAUAAGCACCGGCUAACUCCGUG
RNAcentral lists this ribosomal RNA (433 nucleotides) under uncultured bacterium. Its description in RNAcentral is "partial 16S ribosomal RNA". It matches the Rfam family "Bacterial small subunit ribosomal RNA", at positions 29 to 507 of the family's 1533-position model. The record is from RNAcentral.